GACGAACGCUGGCGGCGUGCUUAACACAUGCAAGUCGAACGGAAAGGCCCUGCUUUUGUGGGGUGCUCGAGUGGCGAACGGGUGAGUAACACGUGAGUAACCUGCCCUUGACUUUGGGAUAACUUCAGGAAACUGGGGCUAAUACCGGAUAGGAGCUCCUGCUGCAUGGUGGGGGUUGGAAAGUUUCGGCGGUUGGGGAUGGACUCGCGGCUUAUCAGCUUGUUGGUGGGGUAGUGGCUUACCAAGGCUUUGACGGGUAGCCGGCCUGAGAGGGUGACCGGCCACAUUGGGACUGAGAUACGGACCAGACUCCUACGUGAGGCAGCAGCGGGGAAUAGUGCACAAUGGGCGGAAGCCUGAUGCAGCAACGCCGCGUGCGGGAUGAAGGCCUUCGGGUUGUAAACCGCUUUCGCCUGGGACGAAGCGUGAGUGAAGGUAAUGGGUAAAGAAGCAACGGCUAGCUACGUG
RNAcentral lists this ribosomal RNA (468 nucleotides) under uncultured bacterium. Its description in RNAcentral is "partial 16S ribosomal RNA". It matches the Rfam family "Bacterial small subunit ribosomal RNA", at positions 28 to 507 of the family's 1533-position model. The record is from RNAcentral.